ACGAACGCUGGCGGCGUGCUUAACACAUGCAAGUCGAACGGAAAGGCCCUUCGGGGUACUCGAGUGGCGAACGGGUGAGUAACACGUGGGUGAUCUGCCCUGCACUUUGGGAUAAGCCUGGGAAACUGGGUCUAAUACCGAAUAGGACCACGCGCUUCAUGGUGUGUGGUGGAAAGCUUUUGCGGUGUGGGAUGGGCCCGCGGCCUAUCAGCUUGUUGGUGGGGUAAUGGCCUACCAAGGCGACGACGGGUAGCCGGCCUGAGAGGGUGACCGGCCACACUGGGACUGAGAUACGGCCCAGACUCCUACGGGAGGCAGCAGUGGGGAAUAUUGCACAAUGGGCGCAAGCCUGAUGCAGCGACGCCGCGUGAGGGAUGACGGCCUUCGGGUUGUAAACCUCUUUCACCAGGGACGAAGCGUAAGUGACGGUACCUGGAGAAGAAGCACCGGCCAACUACGU
This 460-nucleotide ribosomal RNA is filed under the name uncultured bacterium. RNAcentral describes it as "partial 16S ribosomal RNA". It matches the Rfam family "Bacterial small subunit ribosomal RNA", at positions 29 to 506 of the family's 1533-position model. The record is from RNAcentral.